CUCUGUCAGAGCACUUUGAAAAAGUGGUCUGUGGUAUCUGGCUCUCGAGAUUCGGAGAACGAUGCCUCUUCGAUUUUUGAGAAAGCAAUCAUGCUGGGGGUAUGACUCUCGAGAUUCGGAGAGCAGUGUCUCUUCGAUUUUUGAGGAAGUAAUCAUGUUGGGAGUCUGGCUCUCGAGAUUCGGAGGGUGGUGCUUCUUCGAUUUUGGAGCAAGCAAUCUUGUUGGGAGUGUUGUCUCGAAUGUGAGUAUAGGUUGGGCAUGUUUGCUAGUCUACCUUGCCACGAAGCACAAAGGUUGACCACACAGGGACUUUCCAAUUAUCCAGCAAUGGUACUGUUCCUUUACCCUCUCUUCGAUUUUGAGAAAGUAGUCAUGUUGGGAGUCUGGCUCUCGAGAUUCGGAGGACGGUGCCUCUUCGAUUUUUGGAGCAAGCAAUCUUAUUGGGAGUGUUUUCUCGAAUGUGAGUAAAAGGUUGGGCAUGUUUGCUAGUCUACCUUGCCACGAAGCACAGAGGUUGACACACAGGGACUUUCCAAUUAUCCAGCAGUGGUACUGUUCCUUUAC
RNAcentral lists this long non-coding RNA (564 nucleotides) under Malus domestica (apple). RNAcentral's name for it is "long non-coding RNA (MDOM_LNC018188)". Lineage: Eukaryota; Viridiplantae; Streptophyta; Magnoliopsida; Rosales; Rosaceae. The record is from RNAcentral.